GUGCCAGAAGCAUCGGUAAGACAGAGGGCGCAAGCGUUGUUCGGAUUUACUGGGCGUAAAGGGCGUGUAGGCGGAUGUGCAAGUCGGGGGUGAAAGGCCAGGGCUUAACCCGGGACGGUCUCCCGAAACUGCGCAUCUAGAGAAAGUCAGAGGCAGGUGGAAUUCCAGGUGUAGAGGUGAAAUUCGUAGAGAUCUGGAGGAACACCGGCGGCGAAGGCGUCCUGCUGGGGCUUUUCUGACGCUGAGGCGCGAAAGCGUGGGGAGCAAACAGGAUUAGAUACCCUGGUAGUCCACGCUGUAAACGAUGAGCACUAGAUGUGCGCGGUAUGACCCCGCGCGUGUCGCAGCUAACGCAAUAAGUCCUCCGCCUGGGGACUACGGUCGCAAGACUAAAACUUAAAUGAAUUGACGG
RNAcentral lists this ribosomal RNA (412 nucleotides) under uncultured archaeon. RNAcentral's name for it is "bacterial SSU rRNA". It matches the Rfam family "Bacterial small subunit ribosomal RNA", at positions 505 to 916 of the family's 1533-position model. The record is from RNAcentral.